Molecule: long non-coding RNA, 1025 nt
Organism: Felis catus (domestic cat)
Lineage: Eukaryota; Metazoa; Chordata; Mammalia; Carnivora; Felidae
Exons: 12
Source: RefSeq, a predicted model, not a curated record
CCCGCCCAUAAAUCCCGUGGGCCUCUGCGGGGUGGUAUUUAAGUAUCUCGCUGCCGCCCGUCUGCCUCAUUUUUUGUUCACGGUGCCAGGGAUUAGGCGCACGUCUGAACGUUAGAAUGGAAAAGAGCCGACCUGCUAGGAUGUGGUUCAGCUCAAAAGACCUUACGGAUUGGAGGAUGGGACAAGACCCAUCCCUGCAAAGUAAGCAUUCCAGUGAUGCUCCAGCAUCUCCUCCCCAAGCCUGAGGAAUCCAGCUGCCUCCAAGGGUGAAGACAGCUUAUUCCUCUUAGAAUGACUUUCCUGUGGAGGGAGCGAGCAACCCAACAGUACAGUUAAUUCUUGAGAUGGUGUGCUCUCCCUCACCCAUAUGUCACUGUCAGAUGAUUUGAAUAGAUAUGCUGAUCCUCCGUGAGGUACAACAAUUAAUAGCAUGUUAGAGUUCUGAUGGCAGUUUCCAUUAAUGAAGAAACUUUGUUCUAGCCUAGUAUUUUUGGAUAACCAUCUGGUCUCCUUUUGCAGGUCGUCCUGAUGGUGGUAACAUGUUGAUUUACCUUAUGAUGCCCACUGAUGUGUCAGGGUCGAACUCAUGGAAAGAGUUAAGGAUGGAGCAGCUUGUUCGUGUAUACUACCAAAAGGUCUCCAGAGUUAACAGGUGUGGUUACCCAUAACCUGCUCAUUUGCUCAGAGGUUCAGCACCUUCUCUGGAGCCCAAGAAUGAUUUGAGGUACCCUCAGCCAUUUCUCUGCUCAGCUCCAGUCUGAAGUCAGGUCUGAAGAAGGAACAAGGCAUAGGUAAUGGACAGGGAGACAGAAUCCCAAGUAGACCUCAUGCUGUCCAGUGCAGAGCCCAACGCAGGACUUGAACUCUGAACCUGAGAUAACCUGAGCUGGAAUCAAUGGUUCGACAUAUAACAGACUGAGCCAAUGAGGUGCCCCUAAAAAAAAUUUUAAGUCAAUGCUAAAAGGCUUACUUUGGCCAAUUAUUGUGUUUCUCCUGUUGGUGUAAAUAUAACUUGAUGAGAAUGA